GUAGGUGGCAAGCGUUGUCCGGAAUUAUUGGGCGUAAAGCGCGCGCAGGCGGUCCUUUAAGUCUGAUGUGAAAGCCCACGGGCUCAACCGUGGAGGGUCAUUGGAAACUGGGGGACUUGAGUACAGAAGAGGAAAGCAGAAUUUCAAGUGUAGCGGUGAAAUGCGUAGAGAUUUGGAGGAACACCAGUGGCGAAGGCGGCUUUCUGGUCUGUAACUGACGCUGAGGCGCGAAAGCGUGGGGAGCAAACAGGAUUAGAUACCCUGGUAGUCCACGCCGUAAACGAUGAGUGCUAAGUGUUAGGGGGUUUCCGCCCCUUAGUGCUGCAGCUAACGCAUUAAGCACUCCGCCUGGGGAGUACGGCCGCAAAGGCUG
This 373-nucleotide ribosomal RNA is filed under the name uncultured organism. RNAcentral describes it as "partial 16S ribosomal RNA". It matches the Rfam family "Bacterial small subunit ribosomal RNA", at positions 527 to 896 of the family's 1533-position model. The record is from RNAcentral.